Molecule: ribosomal RNA, 301 nt
Filed under: uncultured bacterium
Lineage: Bacteria
Description: partial 16S ribosomal RNA
Rfam family: Bacterial small subunit ribosomal RNA
Source: RNAcentral
CAGUCGCCGCGGUAAUACGUAGGGCGCAAGCGUUAUCCGGAAUUAUUGGGCGUAAAGAGCUCGUAGGCGGUUUGUCGCGUCUGCCGUGAAAGUCCGGGGCUCAACCCCGGAUCUGCGGCGGGUACGGGCAGACUAGAGUGAUGUAGGGGAGACUGGAAUUCCUGGUGUAGCGGUGAAAUGCGCAGAUAUCAGGAGGAACACCGAUGGCGAAGGCAGGUCUCUGGGCAUUAACUGACGCUGAGGAGCGAAAGCAUGGGGAGCGAACAGGAUUAGAUACCCCGGUAGUCCCUGUCUCUUAUAA